Long non-coding RNA from Paramormyrops kingsleyae, 312 nucleotides. RefSeq lists it as uncharacterized. NCBI's taxonomy places the organism in Eukaryota, Metazoa, Chordata, Actinopteri, Osteoglossiformes, Mormyridae. The record is from RefSeq and is a predicted model, not a curated record.
AACGCGACUGCUCACACGGAGGUGUAUCCGGCAUAAGCUGCCACUCACACUGCAGUACAGAUCUGGGGUUAAGAUGCUGUCAUGGAAACAAGAUAAAUGUGGAAGCAGCCAGUGGUGGCUGGAACAUCAUGCUGCAAAUGUGUGGACAGUCGAGGUUACAGCCCUCCAAGCAGGUUAGAACCCACAGAGAGAGCUCAGGCUUAAAGGAGAGGAAAUGUACAGUGGAUUACUGCACUCAUUCAUGGAGAAAUACAGCAGCAGCAUCUCAGGCACUAUUUAAGGUAAUAUCCAAGCGUGCUGGACAACAUAAAG